Molecule: long non-coding RNA, 1550 nt
Organism: Brachypodium distachyon (stiff brome)
Lineage: Eukaryota; Viridiplantae; Streptophyta; Magnoliopsida; Poales; Poaceae
Exons: 4
Source: RefSeq, a predicted model, not a curated record
GCGCUGGCAUUUUUAAUUCGUUGCAGGUCCCUUUUUUUCCUCGUGGUCUUAUUCUUCGUGCUCACUCGUUGCUGCGCGCACGCCGCAGCCAUUUCGCCUUCGCCGGCCGCCGCCGUCCCUUCGCCUUCGCCGGCCGCCGCCGCCCCAGGUCGCCGGCCGCAGCCGUCCCUUCGCCUCUGUCGGACGCCGGCCGCACCCGCCCCCUCGCCUCCGUCGGCCGCCACCGCCCCUUUCGCCUUCGCCGGCCGUCCCCGCCCCAGGUCGCCGGCCGCCGCCGCCCCCUCUGUCUUGGUCCUCCCGAACUCGCAGGAUCCGGUGGGCGGCCCGGCGAGAUCUCGACGAGCCAGCGGAGAGGAGGGUGGCGGCUGGGCGCUCAUCUCCCUCCGGCGGCUUCCUUCGUUCGCCGGCCCUUGGGAACGUCAUUCGCCCUCGGCCCCCCUCGCUGCCAUGCCGACGGUCACACGGGAGGAGGACGCGGCUGCUCGCGUGGAGGCGGAUCGUGGUGGCGCGGUGUCCGCCGUGAUUCUCACGGAUGCGCGCAGGCGCAGUACAACAAGAUGCUCUAAGACUGCUAGGAGAGACUGCUAGGAGAUAAAGCAACACGCGAGGAAUUGAGAAUUUCUUGGUCUAGAGGAAAGUGGUUUUGUCUGCUAUUGCUAUAAAUUGUUACCAUUAUUUUCAGGCAAAAUAAUGUAUACUAUUAUUGCCGCCUUCUUUUCUUUUCAUAUGCAAGCUAUUAAUAUUUCAGUGAUAUAUACCUUACAUUGUGACAAAAAGUUUGAUGCUACAGAACCUGUCGGCAUGGAGCGCCUGGAACUUUGUAGGGAUGAAGAGCAAGCGCGUCUCUGUUGGUUAAAUCUGCUUAAGGGAAAGAUAUCAAGAUGUGCUAUGGCGUCCUUUGAUUCCAGUUCUUUUUUAUAGAAAAAGUACACAAAUGCAGAUAGAGUUGUACCCCACGGGCAUGGAGCAGUAAGGGAAGAACAGGCAAGCUAAUUUCGUGAGGGUUCAUAUUGGUUCAUGAAACCAUAUAUUAUGAGUUUGAUUGUGCAUGUAUGUUAUUUCAUGGGGGUUCAAAAAAAAAAUUCAGCUCCGCUAUUGUGUUCUCACAAGAAAGAAGAGUUACAUUAUUGUUGUACAAGUCAUUAGCUUCUGUAUGCAAAAUCACUUGCGGUGGCUAUUUUAUUUCUAGGUAAUUCGUUAGAUCUUCCCAGUGAUACAGGUGUGCAAUGCAACUACAUCAGAUUUUAGUUCAUAAUUUUUAUACUCCCUUCAUCCCGAAUUAACUGAAUUGGAUUUGUAUAAGAACCUAUACAAAUCCGUGUCAGUUAAUUUGGGACGGAGUGAGUAGUAGAAAACAUUCAAGGUAUUAGUGUGGAGCAUGGUAUUUUGAAAAGUGUUAAUUUGGGACGGAGGGAGUAGUAGAAAACAUUCAGGUAUUAGUGUCGAGCAGGGUAUUUUGAAAAGUGUCAGGACUAGGUUUGUAAGUCCAUAUAUUUUUACAGUGUUAUCGAAGUGGUUGUAUUUGGUCUAAUAGAGUUCGUUUUCCCUUC